Jatropha curcas is the source of this 87-nucleotide non-coding RNA. NCBI's taxonomy places the organism in Eukaryota, Viridiplantae, Streptophyta, Magnoliopsida, Malpighiales, Euphorbiaceae. The record is from Rfam.
UAGAUGCGUGAUGAUGCCUAUCCAUUAAAUUCUGACAUCAUUGUUAAUAUGAUGAUCUCAAAAACAUGCACUACCAUCUGAUUCCUC